AAACUUUCAACAACGGAUCUCUUGGUUCUCGCAUCGAUGAAGAACGCAGCGAAACGCGAUAGUUAAUGUGAAUUGCAGAAUUCAGUGAAUCAUCGAGUCUUUGAACGCACAUUGCGCCCGUUGGCAUUCCGACGGGCACGUCUGUCUGAACGUCAUC
Molecule: ribosomal RNA, 157 nt
Filed under: Orbilia coccinella
Lineage: Eukaryota; Fungi; Ascomycota; Orbiliomycetes; Orbiliales; Orbiliaceae
Description: 5.8S ribosomal RNA
Rfam family: 5.8S ribosomal RNA
About the family: 5.8S ribosomal RNA (5.8S rRNA) is a component of the large subunit of the eukaryotic ribosome.
Source: RNAcentral